Mycena rosella is the source of this 92-nucleotide non-coding RNA. Lineage: Eukaryota; Fungi; Basidiomycota; Agaricomycetes; Agaricales; Mycenaceae. The record is from the annotation of a GenBank genome assembly.
GACUCGAUGGCGGGGGAUCCGCGCCUGCUCCUGGUGUUGUUGUCUUCUGAAAUCGUCAGCAGGAGGUGCUGGUUCGACUCCGGCUCGAGUCA